GACUGGUUGGCGCAACGGUAGCGCGUUCGACUCCAGACAGCCCUUUCCAUAAGGAUGAUGGUAAUCGAAAGGCUAGGCGUUCAAAUCGCCUACUGGUCA
Arthrobotrys conoides is the source of this 99-nucleotide non-coding RNA. NCBI's taxonomy places the organism in Eukaryota, Fungi, Ascomycota, Orbiliomycetes, Orbiliales, Orbiliaceae. The record is from the annotation of a GenBank genome assembly.